UACGGGGGGGGCAAGCGUUAUUCGGAAUUACUGGGCGUAAAGGGCUCGUAGGCGGCCAACUAAGUCCGACGUGAAAUCCCAAGGCUUAACCUUGGAACUGCGUCGGAUACUGGAUGGCUUGAAUUCGGGAGAGGGAUGCAGAAUUCCAGGUGUAGCGGUGAAAUGCGUAGAUAUCUGGAGGAAUACCGGUGGCGAAGGCGGCAUCCUGGACCGACAUUGACGCUGAUGAGCGAAAGCUAGGGGAGCAAACGGG
This 253-nucleotide ribosomal RNA is filed under the name uncultured bacterium. Its description in RNAcentral is "partial 16S ribosomal RNA". It matches the Rfam family "Bacterial small subunit ribosomal RNA", at positions 524 to 776 of the family's 1533-position model. The record is from RNAcentral.